GAGGAGGAGGAGAGGGGGAAAGGUUUGGGGAUAGUGAAGGGAAUGUUGAUGGCCCAAAGUUUAAGGAUUUAGGAGGGAUGGAUGGAGUGUUGGAGGAACUGAAAAUGGAGGUGAUUGUUCCAUUGUACCAUCCUCAGCUGACUAAGCAUCUUGGAGUUAGGCCUAUGUCAGGGAUACUCUUACACGGGCCACCAGGCUGUGGUAAAACAAAACUAGCUCAUGCUAUUGCCAAUGAGACUCGAGUUCCAUUCUACAAACUAUCUGCUACUGAGUUGGUC
This 278-nucleotide unclassified non-coding RNA is filed under the name Hevea brasiliensis (rubber tree). Lineage: Eukaryota; Viridiplantae; Streptophyta; Magnoliopsida; Malpighiales; Euphorbiaceae. The record is from RNAcentral.